Molecule: ribosomal RNA, 466 nt
Filed under: uncultured bacterium
Lineage: Bacteria
Description: partial 16S ribosomal RNA
Rfam family: Bacterial small subunit ribosomal RNA
Source: RNAcentral
GAUGAAGGAGGGAGGAGUGCUUAACACAUGCAAGUCGAACGAUGAAGCCCAGCUUGCUGGGUGGAUUAGUGGCGAACGGGUGAGUAACACGUGAGUAACCUGCCCUUAACUCUGGGAUAAGCCUGGGAAACUGGGUCUAAUACCGGGUAGGAGCGUCCACCGCAUGGGGGGUGUUGGAGAGAUUUAUCGGUUUUGGAUGGACUCGCGGCCUAUCAGCUUGUUGGUGAGGUAAUGGCGCACCAAGGCGACGACGGGUAGCCGGCCUGAGAGGGUGACCGGCCACACUGGGACUGAGACACGGCCCAGACUCCUACGGGAGGCAGCAGUGGGGAAUAUUGCACAAUGGGCGCAAGCCUGAUGCAGCGACGCCGCGUGAGGGAUGACGGCCUUCGGGUUGUAAACCUCUUUCAGUAGGGAAGAAGCGAAAGUGACGGUACCUGCAGAAGAAGCACCGGCUAACUACGUG